AGAAAGUUUGUUUGGGUUUUUC
Molecule: microRNA, 22 nt
Filed under: Bos taurus (domestic cattle)
Lineage: Eukaryota; Metazoa; Chordata; Mammalia; Artiodactyla; Bovidae
Description: Bta-Mir-2285-P4_5p (mature (guide))
Source: RNAcentral